This is a long non-coding RNA of Hyaena hyaena (striped hyena), 692 nucleotides long. RefSeq lists it as uncharacterized. The record is from RefSeq and is a predicted model, not a curated record. NCBI's taxonomy places the organism in Eukaryota, Metazoa, Chordata, Mammalia, Carnivora, Hyaenidae. The transcript is spliced from 3 exons.
UUCCUAUUCCAGCAGGGUCCUGGCCACCAGCCCCGGAUCACUCUGUGCAGAUGAAAUGGGGACCUUUUUGGUGUCCACCCCCUGGCAGCUUUGAAAAUCAUUUAGCUUCUAUCAUGAUGGAUACUCCCUGCCUAAAAUGAUGCAUGGGCAGCAUCUGAAAAAGGAUGACAUGAAAUUUGAAAAAUGAUAUGAGUGCUGGUGGACGGACAUUUUUUUUUUUUUAAAGAAAAGUUGACAUAAGUUUGAAAUAUAGCAUGGGGGACUGUUCUAUCAUUUGUCUUUCUCAGAAGAAAUCAGUAGCUGUUCUUUAUCAAUAUGUUCUUUGGGGAAGAAAACCUAUAUUCUAGUUAAAAUGAACUCUUUCCCCCUCCUUAAAAAGAACACGGGUCUUGCUUAUCUGCCCAUGAAUAAUCCACUGACUGACUCAGAUCAGAGGCAAACUUUUUCUCAUGAACCUCUGUAACUUCCUCAACAAUUCAAGACCGCCUCCCGAUGGCGGUUCAGCCUGUGCCCAGAGAUUUCCAGUUCCUUCAACAGAUUACCUUUCAAAUGUUUCAUCAACUUCAACAAAGCAAGGAUUUGCCCCAAAGGAUGAAUUAUUAUUUGGAGUGCUGCAUUAUUCCCUGGAAUGCUAGAAUUAAAGAAAAAUUUUCAAAACUAAAUAAAUAAAGAGCUACCCUCACUGCAGUAAU